This 302-nucleotide ribosomal RNA is filed under the name uncultured bacterium. Its description in RNAcentral is "partial 16S ribosomal RNA". It matches the Rfam family "Bacterial small subunit ribosomal RNA", at positions 508 to 807 of the family's 1533-position model. The record is from RNAcentral.
GCAGUAGCCACGGUAAUACGGAGGGUGCAAGCGUUAUCCGGAUUUAUUGGGUUUAAAGGGUCCGUAGGCGGAUCUGUAAGUCAGUGGUGAAAUCUCACAGCUUAACUGUGAAACUGCCAUUGAUACUGCAGGUCUUGAGUAAAUUUGAAGUGGCUGGAAUAAGUAGUGUAGCGGUGAAAUGCAUAGAUAUUACUUAGAACACCAAUUGCGAAGGCAGGUCACUAAGAUUUAACUGACGCUGAUGGACGAAAGCGUGGGGAGCGAACAGGAUUAGAUACCCGCGUAGUCCCUGUCUCUUAUAC